UAAACCUACGGGGCGCAGCAGUGAGGGAUAUUGGUCAAUGGGCGCGAGCCUGAACCAGCAAGUCGCGUGAGGGGAGACGGUCCUAUGGAUUGUAAACCUCUUUUGUCGGGGAGCAAAAGACGCCACGUGUGGCGUUCCGAGAGUACCCGAAGAAAAAGCAUCGGCUAACUCCGUGCCAGCAGCCGCGGUAAUACGGAGGAUGCGAGCGUUAUCCGGAUUUAUUGGGUUUAAAGGGUGCGCAGGCGGAAGAUCAUGUCAGCGGUAAAAUUGAGAGGCUCUACCUCU
This 285-nucleotide ribosomal RNA is filed under the name uncultured bacterium. RNAcentral's name for it is "partial 16S ribosomal RNA". It matches the Rfam family "Bacterial small subunit ribosomal RNA", at positions 334 to 617 of the family's 1533-position model. The record is from RNAcentral.